CAGCAGCCGCGGGAAUACGUAGGUGGUAAGCGUUGUCCGGAAUUAUUGGGCGUAAAGGGCUCGCAGGCGGUUUCUUAAGUCUGAUGUGAAGGCCCCCGGCUCAACCGGGGAGGGUCAUUGGAAACUGGGAAACUUGAGUGCAGAAGAGGAGAGUGGAAUUCCACGUGUAGCGGUGAAAUGCGUAGAGAUGUGGAGGAACACCAGUGGCGAAGGCGACUCUCUGGUCUGUAACUGACGCUGAGGAGCGAAAGCGUGGGGAGCGAACAGGAUUAGAUACCCCAGUAGUCCCUGUCUCUUAUAC
RNAcentral lists this ribosomal RNA (301 nucleotides) under uncultured bacterium. Its description in RNAcentral is "partial 16S ribosomal RNA". It matches the Rfam family "Bacterial small subunit ribosomal RNA", at positions 509 to 807 of the family's 1533-position model. The record is from RNAcentral.